Molecule: ribosomal RNA, 497 nt
Filed under: uncultured bacterium
Lineage: Bacteria
Description: bacterial SSU rRNA
Rfam family: Bacterial small subunit ribosomal RNA
Source: RNAcentral
ACUCAAAUGAAUUGACGGGGACCCGCACAAGCGGUGGAUGAUGUGGAUUAAUUCGAUGCAACGCGAAGAACCUUACCUGGUCUUGACAUGUACGGAAGACUGCAGAGACGCAGUUGUGCCUUCGGGAACCGUAACACAGGUGCUGCAUGGCUGUCGUCAGCUCGUGUCGUGAGAUGUUGGGUUAAGUCCCGCAACGAGCGCAACCCUUGCCAUUAGUUGCCACCAUUUAGUUGGGCACUCUAAUGGGACUGCCGGUGACAAGCCGGAGGAAGGUGGGGAUGACGUCAAGUCCUCAUGGCCCUUAUGACCAGGGCUUCACACGUCAUACAAUGGUCGGUACAGAGGGUAGCCAAGCCGCGAGGUGGAGCCAAUCCCAGAAAACCGAUCGUAGUCCGGAUUGCACUCUGCAACUCGAGUGCAUGAAGUCGGAAUCGCUAGUAAUCGCAGGUCAGCAUACUGCGGUGAAUACGUUCCCGGGUCUUGUACACACCGCCCGU